RNAcentral lists this transfer RNA (86 nucleotides) under Planctomycetota bacterium. Its description in RNAcentral is "Planctomycetes bacterium tRNA-Leu". It matches the Rfam family "tRNA". Rfam says of the family: Transfer RNA (tRNA) molecules are approximately 80 nucleotides in length. Their secondary structure includes four short double-helical elements and three loops (D, anti-codon, and T loops). Lineage: Bacteria; Pseudomonadati; Planctomycetota. The record is from RNAcentral.
GCGGAGGUGGCGGAACAGGCAGACGCGCCAGGUUGAGGGCCUGGUCCCCGGUCACGGGGGUGGGGGUUCGAAUCCCCCCCUCCGCA